AAAUUGAAGAGUUUGAUCAUGGCUCAGAUUGAACGCUGGCGGCAGGCCUAACACAUGCAAGUCGAACGGUAACAGGAAGCAGCUUGCUGCUUCGCUGACGAGUGGCGGACGGGUGAGUAAUGUCUGGGAAACUGCCUGAUGGAGGGGGAUAACUACUGGAAAUGGUGGCUAAUACCGCAUAACGUCGCAAGACCAAAGAGGGGGACCUUCGGGCCUCUUGCCAUCAGAUGUGCCCAGAUGGGAUUAGCUUGUUGGUGAGGUAACGGCUCACCAAGGCGACGAUCCCUAGCUGGUCUGAGAGGAUGACCAGCCACACUGGAACUGAGACACGGUCCAGACUCCUACGGGAGGCAGCAGUGGGGAAUAUUGCACAAUGGGCGCAAGCCUGAUGCAGCCAUGCCGCGUGUAUGAAGAAGGCCUUCGGGUUGUAAAG
Molecule: ribosomal RNA, 433 nt
Filed under: Salmonella enterica
Lineage: Bacteria; Pseudomonadati; Pseudomonadota; Gammaproteobacteria; Enterobacterales; Enterobacteriaceae
Description: bacterial SSU rRNA
Rfam family: Bacterial small subunit ribosomal RNA
Source: RNAcentral